UGGGGAAUAUUGGACAAUGGGCGCAAGCCUGAUCCAGCCAUGCCGCGUGAGUGAUGAAGGCCCUAGGGUUGUAAAGCUCUUUCGCCAGGGACGAUAAUGACGGUACCUGGAUAAGAAGCCCCGGCUAACUUCGUGCCAGCAGCCGCGGUAAUACGAAGGGGGCUAGCGUUGUUCGGAAUCACUGGGCGUAAAGCGCACGUAGGCGGAUCUUUAAGUCAGGGGUGAAAUCCCGAGGCUCAACCUCGGAACUGCCUUUGAUACUGGAGGUCUCGAGUCCGGGAGAGGUGAGUGGAACUGCGAGUGUAGAGGUGAAAUUCGUAGAUAUUCGCAAGAACACCAGUGGCGAAGGCGGCUCACUGGCCCGGUACUGACGCUGAGGUGCGAAAGCGUGGGGAGCAAACA
RNAcentral lists this ribosomal RNA (402 nucleotides) under uncultured bacterium. RNAcentral describes it as "bacterial SSU rRNA". It matches the Rfam family "Bacterial small subunit ribosomal RNA", at positions 355 to 774 of the family's 1533-position model. RNAcentral also lists the same sequence under 1 other name. The record is from RNAcentral.